This 267-nucleotide small RNA is filed under the name Nomascus leucogenys (northern white-cheeked gibbon). RNAcentral's name for it is "Metazoan signal recognition particle RNA (ENSNLEG00000033270.1)". The record is from RNAcentral. Lineage: Eukaryota; Metazoa; Chordata; Mammalia; Primates; Hylobatidae.
GCCAGGUACUGUGCUGUGUGCCUGUAAUCUCAGCUACUUGGGAGGCUGAGGCAGGAGAAUCACUUGAGCCCGGGAGGCAGAGGUUGCAGUGAGCUGAGAUCGCACCACUGCGCCCCCGCCUGGGCAACACGAUGGUGCACACCUGCAGUCCCAGCUACUUAGGAGGCUGAGGCAGGAGAGCACUUGAGCCCGGGAGGUCAAGUUUGAAGUGUGUUGUGAUUACAUCACUGCACUCUAGCCUGGGUGACAGAGUGACACCCUGUCUCA